RNAcentral lists this ribosomal RNA (319 nucleotides) under uncultured eukaryote. Its description in RNAcentral is "partial 18S ribosomal RNA". It matches the Rfam family "Eukaryotic small subunit ribosomal RNA", at positions 1470 to 1796 of the family's 1831-position model. The record is from RNAcentral.
CCCUUAGAUGUUCUGGGCAGCACGCGCGCUACAAUGGUCUUCGCAAACGGAUGCAUUCUCGAAGGAGAAUGCCAAUCUUGGAAUCUAUGCCUUGGUCGGGACAGUUGCUUUCAAUUUUUCGACUCGAACCAGGAAUUCCUUGUAAUCGUGAUUCAUCACAUCACGAUGAAUACGUCCCUGCCCUUUGUACACACCGCCCGUCGCUCCUACCGAUCGAAGAGUUAGGUGAAUUGUUUUGAUCGAUAAGAUUUGACUAUGGUCAACUCUCGUUGUGAAAUUCUGUGAAUCUGACUGUUUAGAGGAAGGAAAAGUCGUAACA